This 573-nucleotide ribosomal RNA is filed under the name uncultured fungus. RNAcentral's name for it is "eukaryotic LSU rRNA". The stretch from base 222 to 375 matches the Rfam family "5.8S ribosomal RNA". The record is from RNAcentral. Lineage: Eukaryota; Fungi.
UCGUAACAGGUCUCCGUANGUGAACCUGCGGAGGGANCNUUACACAAAUAUGAAGCCGGACUGGGAUAGGGCCUCGCUGCCUUGCCCGUCUGGCGCCAUAUUCACCCAUGUCUUUUUGCGUACUACUUGUUUCCUUGGCGGGUCCGCCCGCCAAUUGGACCUUAUUCAAACCUUUUUUUUCAGUUGCAAUCAGCGUCAGCAAAACAAAUGUAAUCAAUUACAACUUUCAACAACGGAUCUCUUGGUUCUGGCAUCGAUGAAGAACGCAGCGAAAUGCGAUAAGUAGUGUGAAUUGCAGAAUUCAGUGAAUCAUCGAAUCUUUGAACGCACAUUGCGCCCUUUGGUAUUCCAAAGGGCAUGCCUGUUCGAGCGUCAUUUGUACCCUCAAGCUUUGCUUGGUGUUGGGCGUCUUGUCUCUCUCCCGAGACUCGCCUUAAAAUCAUUGGCAGCCGGCCUACUGGUUUCGGAGCGCAGCACAUUAUUUGCGCUCUUGUCCAGCCGCGGUCGCGCGUCCAUGAAAGCUUCUUUCAACCUUUUGACCUCGGAAUCAGGUAGGGAUACCCGCUGAACUUA